CACGUAGGGCGCGAGCGUUGUCCGGAAUUAUUGGGCGUAAAGAGCUCGUAGGCGGCCUGUUGCGUCCGCUGUGAAAGCCCGGGGCUUAACCCCGGGUCGGCAGUGGAUACGGGCAGGCUAGAGGUAGGUAGGGGAGAAUGGAAUUCCCGGUGUAGCGGUGAAAUGCGCAGAUAUCGGGAGGAACACCGGUGGCGAAGGCGGUCCUCUGGGCCUUACCUGACGCUGAGGAGCGAAAGCGUGGGGAGCGAACAGG
This 253-nucleotide ribosomal RNA is filed under the name uncultured bacterium. Its description in RNAcentral is "partial 16S ribosomal RNA". It matches the Rfam family "Bacterial small subunit ribosomal RNA", at positions 524 to 776 of the family's 1533-position model. The record is from RNAcentral.